Molecule: ribosomal RNA, 253 nt
Filed under: uncultured bacterium
Lineage: Bacteria
Description: partial 16S ribosomal RNA
Rfam family: Bacterial small subunit ribosomal RNA
Source: RNAcentral
GACAGAGGUCCCAAGCGUUAGGCGGAAUCACUGGGCUUAAAGCGUGUGUAGGCGGAUUUGUAAGUACCUUGUGAAAUCCCACGGCUCAACCGUGGAACUGCUUGGUAUACUGCUUAUCUUGGGCCAUCUAGGGGCGAGCGGAACAAACGGUGGAGCGGUGAAAUGCGUAGAUAUCGUGUGGAACGCCAAUGGUGAAAACAGCUCGCUGGGGAUGUGCCGACGCUGAGAUACGAAAGCCAGGGGAGCGAACGGG